UCCCUGGUGGUCCAGUGGCUAAAACUUUGCACUCCCAAUGCAGGGGGCCUGGGUUUGAUUCCUGGUCAGGAAA
This is a transfer RNA of Ovis aries (sheep), 73 nucleotides long. It matches the Rfam family "tRNA". Rfam says of the family: Transfer RNA (tRNA) molecules are approximately 80 nucleotides in length. NCBI's taxonomy places the organism in Eukaryota, Metazoa, Chordata, Mammalia, Artiodactyla, Bovidae. The record is from Rfam.